GAAAUGCGAUAAGUAGUGUGAAUUGCAGAAUUCAGUGAAUCAUCGAAUCUUUGAACGCACAUUGCGCCCUUUGGUAUUCCUUAGGGCAUGCCUGUUCGAGCGUCAUCUAAACCUUCAAGCCCUGCUUGGUGUUGGGUGCCUGUCCCGCCUCCGCGCGCGGACUCACCUCAAAUCCAUUGGCGGCCCCCGCGUCGGCCACGAGCGCAGCAGAAACGCGAACUCGUGAGCCCGUCCGGGCGGCUCCCAGAAGCUACACCCACCCAGUUUGACCUCGGAUCAGGUAGUGAUACCCGCUGAACUUCAGC
This 305-nucleotide unclassified non-coding RNA is filed under the name plant metagenome. RNAcentral describes it as "partial contains 5.8S ribosomal RNA, internal transcribed spacer 2, and large subunit ribosomal RNA". The stretch from base 1 to 105 matches the Rfam family "5.8S ribosomal RNA", at positions 50 to 154 of the family's 154-position model. The record is from RNAcentral.